This 378-nucleotide ribosomal RNA is filed under the name uncultured eukaryote. RNAcentral's name for it is "partial 18S ribosomal RNA". It matches the Rfam family "Eukaryotic small subunit ribosomal RNA", at positions 592 to 976 of the family's 1831-position model. The record is from RNAcentral.
CAAUAGCGUAUAUUUAAGUUGUUGCAGUUAAAAAGCUCGUAGUUGGAUUUCGGGUGGGACGCAGCGGUCUCGCAUUGCGUUUGUACUGCUGCAGCCCUCCUUCUUGCCGGGGGCGGCCUCUCGGACUUCACUGUCUGGGGGUCAGAAUCGGCGAUGUUACUUUGAGUAAAUUAGAGUGUUCAAAGCAAGCUUACGCGCUGAAUAUAAUAGCAUGGGAUAACACGACAGGACUCUGGCCUAUCGUGUUGGUCUAUAGGACCAGAGUAAUGAUUAAGAGGGACAGUCGGGGGCAUUCGUAUUCCGUUGUCAGAGGUGAAAUUCUUGGAUUUACGGAAGACGAACAUCUGCGAAAGCAUUUGCCAAGGAUGUUUUCAUUGA